GUGGGGAAUCUUGCGCAAUGGGCGAAAGCCUGACGCAGCCAUGCCGCGUGAAUGAUGAAGGUCUUAGGAUUGUAAAAUUCUUUCACCGGGGACGAUAAUGACGGUACCCGGAGAAGAAGCUCCGGCUAACUUCGUGCCAGCAGCCGCGGUAAUACGAAGGGGGCUAGCGUUGCUCGGAAUUACUGGACGUAAAGGGCGCGUAGGCGGACAGCUUAGUCAGAGGUGAAAGCCCAGGGCUCAACCUUGGAAUUGCCUUUGAUACUGGCUGUCUUGAGUUUGGGAGAGGUGAGUGGAAUUCCGAGUGUAGAGGUGAAAUUCGUAGAUAUUCGGAGGAACACCAGUGGCGAAGGCGGCUCACUGGCUCGAUACUGACGCUGAGGUGCGAAAGCGUGGGGAGCAAACAGGAUUAGAAACCCCAGUAGUCC
Molecule: ribosomal RNA, 425 nt
Filed under: uncultured bacterium
Lineage: Bacteria
Description: partial 16S ribosomal RNA
Rfam family: Bacterial small subunit ribosomal RNA
Source: RNAcentral